Long non-coding RNA from Gallus gallus (chicken), 1462 nucleotides. NCBI's taxonomy places the organism in Eukaryota, Metazoa, Chordata, Aves, Galliformes, Phasianidae. The record is from Ensembl.
CUUAAGAUUGACAUUUCAGCUUGUUUUGCAUUUCCUUGGCUAGACAAGCUCUUACAUGAUUGUUUUGGUGUGCUGGAAUCAAAGCACUGAUCUUGUUAGGUUUUGUGAACUGUCAAGUGCAUGAAAUUGUUGUUGUUCUUAUCCAGUGUUUUUGAGAUACAGUCAAAUCAGCUUUAAUCCACACUAGCACUAUUUCAAGUUUUCAGUUCACAUCUUAAUUGCAGUUAGGUAGGGUGGCAAAAUGUGAUGUGUGACUGAAGCUGCCGGAUUGAAAGAGGAAAAUGAACCUGUUUUUGAAGGAUUAAAAACUGAUUUUCCUCACAGCUACUGAUUUCUAGCUGACUCUUUGUACUUGAUGGGAUAUAAAGAAAACCCACAAGUAAAACUGCUUCUUGAUGAAAUGCUGAAAACAAAUCCAAAAAAAUUCUGGACGUUAUUUGGAAUAAAUGGAACAAUCUGUUGAUUCCUUGAGUUGAAGCUCUCCCUGGAAAUGAAAUAGGGUUGAAAUUUCUGACUGCAUUAAAUCACUGAGGCUCAAGUCACAGUACAUUUCAGUAGAAGCCAAUGCCGGGAUUUUACUGAAGCUGGUAAGGAGAAGAGGUCUCAUAAGAUUUACGUAACUCAUGCAGUGGGACAUGGAGCUGCUGCUGUGAAAUUCAAAGAACUUGAAGGUAUCAAAACAGACAGAUGGCUACCAGUGGGUUUAGUAUUUGAUAUCAAGCACAGUUCUGAUGAAUUCUGAUGAGUGACUUGGGAAGUGCCAGAUGAUGGAAGAUGAAUAUCAGAUAGCCUGAAUAAAAGAACACAAGAACUUCAUUAUGCUGUUUUCUGAAAUACAGGAAGCAAGAGGUUAAAGGAGGAUGGAGAAACAAAUAGGAAGAAUGCUCAGCGUUUACUACUUAUGAAGCAGUAUCAUGUUGUGGUAAUUCAGGCAUUUGUCUAAUAAGUCUCUAGAAAUAACCUCCGAACAAUUCAGAUAGCAGCAGGACAGACAGAAAUCUCAAAGAGAUCUUUCCUUGCAAAUGUCUCUGCAUGGCUUACAGGACAGAAUAUGAGAAUAAUCCAGCACAAGACAGUGGGGACUGAAGAGGAAACCCGAAUCUAUUUACCAUUAAGAAGCCCUGUACUGAACUGACAGGAACAGAAUGUAACACUGCUCCAAAGUCUUGGCAUGCCAGUGUUGCCUUUGUGUAUUUGAAGUAUUUCCACUGGUCUUCGGAGUCCUGUCAUCCACCAAUGAUUCUGACAUAUCCAUGAUGACAAUCUGCUCACAGAAUACUGAAAGAAGCUCUUUAACAAGGAAAUCCUUGCUGGCAUCGCCUACCCAAAAUGUCAUGAAAGGAGCCCAUACUUGACAGCUCCUGGCUUCCAUUAAGAACUGCAAGGUGCACGUUCCUUGUGAGAUAUUGAAACAACUGAGGUGGUGUUCUGUAGAAUACAUGUAUGGCCACAGAGCCUUCUG